Molecule: ribosomal RNA, 253 nt
Filed under: uncultured bacterium
Lineage: Bacteria
Description: partial 16S ribosomal RNA
Rfam family: Bacterial small subunit ribosomal RNA
Source: RNAcentral
UACGUAGGGGGCGAGCGUUGUCCGGAAUUACUGGGCGUAAAGGGUGCGUAGGCGGUAAUUUAAGUCAGAUGUGAAAUCCCCGGGCUUAACUCGGGUGUUGCAUUUGAAACUGGGUUACUAGAGUGCAGGAGAGGGAAGCGGAAUUCCUAGUGUAGCGGUGAAAUGCGUAGAUAUUAGGAGGAACACCAGUGGCGAAGGCGGCUUUCUGGACUGUAACUGACGCUGAGGCACGAAAGCGUGGGGAGCAAACAGG